RNAcentral lists this unclassified non-coding RNA (241 nucleotides) under Hevea brasiliensis (rubber tree). Lineage: Eukaryota; Viridiplantae; Streptophyta; Magnoliopsida; Malpighiales; Euphorbiaceae. The record is from RNAcentral.
CCUUUUCCAGAUUUCUUGGAGCUGUAAAAAUAAAAAUAAAUCAGAUAACAUUAAUGCUCUGGGUGGGGGUGAGGAAAAGGUAAAUAAGGGUAAGGAGGGAUAAGUAACUAAGUAAGUUACUAAAAGAUGAGGGUAAGGGUAAGACUUAUACUCUCUUACCUCAUCCCAAUUUUUCUUAUGUAAGCAAGGGAGAGAGGGGAGAGAGAGGAGAUGAAAACUGAAAAUUACUUUAUUUUUUAUU